Molecule: long non-coding RNA, 506 nt
Filed under: Pogona vitticeps (central bearded dragon)
Lineage: Eukaryota; Metazoa; Chordata; Lepidosauria; Squamata; Agamidae
Description: lncRNA (ENSPVIG00000009744.1)
Source: RNAcentral
AUUGACAGCCAAGGAUGACGUCAUAUUUUGGAUUCCGCUACACAUGCUGAUAUAUUUUCUUGGUUGGAGGGAAUAGAGGUACAAUCACCAUGGCCACAGCUUCUCUCAGCCACUGUAAGAGACCAACUCCCAGCCUUACCUGAAUUGCUGUUUGCCUCCACUGGAAAACCAUACUGUUGUACAGGGUUCCUGCUGAGGUAAAUACCAAGUGUUGGAGAGGAGAUAACUUUCGACAGGGCAGCAAAGCAAACAGUUUUAAAUGAGAUAACCCUUCAAACAGAGAACACCUUCAGAUAGUUGGCUGUCUCUUGUAAAACAGGAAUGGAGCCACGCUACUCACACAUCAGAGGCAGUUAAGCUCUGACUGAAAUUGUGUUGGUUUAACUACACGGGUGGUAAUGCUGAUGAUAUCAUCAGUCCAUGAUGUUAUUAUUUACUUUAAGUUAAUUUAGAGAACCUUCAUGUUUCCAGCAUGGGACUUUAUUCACUGUAUAUUAUCACAUCAC